GCGGCGGACGGGUGAGUAACACGUGGGCAACCUGCCCGCAAGACCGGGAUAACUCCGGGAAACCGGAGCUAAUACCGGAUAACACCGAAGACCGCAUGGUCUUUGGUUGAAAGGCGGCCUUUGGCUGUCACUUGCGGAUGGGCCCGCGGCGCAUUAGCUAGUUGGUGAGGUAACGGCUCACCAAGGCGACGAUGCGUAGCCGGCCUGAGAGGGUGACCGGCCACACUGGGACUGAGACACGGCCCAGACUCCUACGGGAGGCAGCAGUAGGGAAUCUUCCGCAAUGGGCGAAAGCCUGACGGAGCGACGCCGCGUGAGCGAAGAAGGCCUUCGGGUCGUAAAGCUCUGUUGUGAGGGACGAAGGAGCGCCGUUCGAAGAGGGCGGCGCGGUGACGGUACCUCACGAGGAAGCCCCGGCUAACUACGUGCCAGCAGCCGCGGUAAUAC
RNAcentral lists this ribosomal RNA (447 nucleotides) under Geobacillus sp. E07C002. RNAcentral describes it as "bacterial SSU rRNA". It matches the Rfam family "Bacterial small subunit ribosomal RNA", at positions 95 to 526 of the family's 1533-position model. The record is from RNAcentral. RNAcentral also lists the same sequence under 141 other names. Lineage: Bacteria; Bacillati; Bacillota; Bacilli; Caryophanales; Anoxybacillaceae.